Molecule: ribosomal RNA, 460 nt
Filed under: uncultured bacterium
Lineage: Bacteria
Description: partial 16S ribosomal RNA
Rfam family: Bacterial small subunit ribosomal RNA
Source: RNAcentral
CCUUCGGGUGGCAGCAGUGAGGAAUAUUGGUCAAUGGGCGUAAGCCUGAACCAGCCAAGUCGCGUGAGGGAUGAAGGUUCUAUGGAUCGUAAACCUCUUUUAUAAGGGAAUAAAGUGCGGGACGUGUCCCGUUUUGUAUGUACCUUAUGAAUAAGGAUCGGCUAACUCCGUGCCAGCAGCCGCGGUAAUACGGAGGAUCCGAGCGUUAUCCGGAUUUAUUGGGUUUAAAGGGUGCGUAGGUUGUUUUAUAAGUUAGCGGUGAAAUACCGAUGCUCAACAUCGGGGCUGCCGCUGAUACUGUAGGACUAGAGAUCGGAUGCAGCAGGCGGAAUGUGUAGUGUAGCGGUGAAAUGCAUAGAUAUUACACAGAACACCGAUUGCGAAGGCAGCUUGCUAGGCCGGAUCUGACACUGAUGCACGAAAGCGUGGGGAUCGAACAGGAUUAGAUACCCCAGUAGUC